This 1722-nucleotide long non-coding RNA is filed under the name Olea europaea subsp. europaea. The record is from RNAcentral. Lineage: Eukaryota; Viridiplantae; Streptophyta; Magnoliopsida; Lamiales; Oleaceae.
CGGUUACUAAUGCGUAGCCCACCUAAGGAUGACUACAUAAUGUCCUCAUUCGAUAGUUUCUACACCAUCUCUGUUCUGACAAAUUUCCGUUAUGACUAAAUUGCCCCCACAUGUCCACCCUGCACUUUUCUCAUUCUCCAGCUAAUGGAGAAUUACAGUUCAUUGAAACAAAGUUUUUAGUGAUGAAGCCUGGAGUAUUUCACACUUUCACCCGCUUAAAUCCCUUCGAUGAGGUAAAGUAUGAAACGGGCACACGAAAUAUAUAUUUAUUGCAAGUUUAUCUUAUCCUUUAGAUCUCGUAAAAUUCUUUUUAAGGUAAGUUUGUAUUUUUUUUUUAUUUUUUUUUUUGUAUUAAUAAACACUCUUUAUUCGUUGUGGUUAAUUUAAAAAAGGAAAAACAUAGGCUAAGAGUUGGUGAACUCAAUUGUUAUUGCAAGAAGUGCAAAGAAAGCAAAGGGUAUUUCAGUAAGUGCAGCAUCGAAUUAAAUUCCCUUGAUCUACUGUUCCAUUUUAUGUUUGUAUAAUAAUGCAAGUGUAGAAAUAUUUCAAGUAUGUUAAGGUCAAAUAAUUGAAGAUCCCAAAGUCUUGUGAUGCAAAAGAGAAGAAGAACCAAAUAAAAUGUCAAGAUUUGAGGAUGGAUUAUGUGUAUUGAUACAUGUAAUGUUGAGGAAGAGCAUCAACAUAUAUAACGAGUUUUCGUUCGUGCUCGUGGACUUGGUUUCUGUACUAAACUCAAUGUUUCAAUUUUCGGGCAUGUUUUUGCAGAGAUCGAAUACAGUUCCGAGCCGGUACUCACCUAUGUCUUCGGUGUUUGGUCGCCAUGACCGGUAACUCUUGUUGCUAAACAUGGUCAGAAAAAAAGUGGUUCAAACACCAAAUUUAUCAGUAAGAAGAAAAAUUUGUUUCUUGUUGUGUUUCCAUGACAUGGUGAAUGCUGUAAAUCAAGAUCUAUAGAUGGUAUACAGAAUAUAUCAUGAUUGGAUGAAUAAUUUUGUUAAUUUUGUUUCACUGUUAAGAUAUUCUGUUCCUUCGUGUAUGAAGAUUACUUCUUUGGCAAAUUAAUUUGUAUUGAUUAAUCAGAAGAUAAAUAGUAUUUUAGCUAUUACUUGAGUCUUGAAAAAAAAAAGCUUUGAAUUUGUGUGUGUGGAAUUCUUGUAGACAUCUAAGUGUAUUAGACCUAGAAGUCCGCGCAUUAGAUGUAGAAUUGGCUUAUGCACAUUAAUAAAUUUUUUUACUAGUAUCAUAAAUAAGAGUUUAUUAGAUUUUCAUUCUAACAAAAAGAAAUCAACUUACUCCACCAUUUAUGCUAAGCUUAAAAAGUGCUUAAGCUUAAACAUGCUAUUAUGUCUAGCUAUUAUAGACAUUGCUUCUUGGCUUAUGACACAAGCAUGUCUUUACUGCUGAAGUAAGAUGAUCAAAAGCAGCUUAUAAGUAAGCAUGCCCUCAUAAGUGGUUUGGUCUAUACCCUCUAAAUACCCAACUAAAAUUGAGGUUUAAGUAAGUGUCCACUAGAACUUUUACCCGAAAGUAGGGUUUGUUUGUACAACCCCUACCUAAUUGCCGCAAAUUUCAACUCUAAAGAAGAUCAGGAAUUUAUGUAAUGAUUAGGAAAAUAGGAAUAGAAUAAUUUUAUUGUACCUAAUAGAGCAAGGGAAGGAGAACAUGUAAGUGAGUCUGCUUAAAUGAUAUAUAAGGCUUAGAUAAUUAAGAUGGAAGAAGUGC